This 253-nucleotide ribosomal RNA is filed under the name uncultured bacterium. Its description in RNAcentral is "partial 16S ribosomal RNA". It matches the Rfam family "Bacterial small subunit ribosomal RNA", at positions 524 to 776 of the family's 1533-position model. The record is from RNAcentral.
CACGUAGGGGGCGAGCGUUGUCCGGAUUUAUUGGGCGUAAAGAGCUUGUAGGCGGUCUGUCGCGUCUGCUGUGAAAAUCCGGGGCUCAACCCCGGACUUGCAGUGGGUACGGGCAGACUAGAGUGUGGUAGGGGAGACUGGAAUUCCUGGUGUAGCGGUGAAAUGCGCAGAUAUCAGGAGGAACACCGAUGGCGAAGGCAGGUCUCUGGGCCGAUACUGACGCUGAGGAGCGAAAGCGUGGGGAGCGAACAGG